AUUGAACGCUGGCGGCAUGCUUUACACAUGCAAGUCGAACGGUAACAGGUUAAGCUGACGAGUGGCGAACGGGUGAGUAAUGCAUCGGAACGUGCCCGGUCGUGGGGGAUAACGCAGCGAAAGCUGCGCUAAUACCGCAUACGAUCUGAGGAUGAAAGCGGGGGACCGUAAGGCCUCGCGCGAUCGGAGCGGCCGAUGUCAGAUUAGGUAGUUGGUGGGGUAAAGGCUCACCAAGCCAACGAUCUGUAGCUGGUCUGAGAGGACGACCAGCCAGACUGAGACUGAGACACGGGCCAGAUUCCUACGGGAGGCACCAGUGGGGAAUUUUGGACAAUGGGCGAAAGCCUGAUCCAGCAAUGCCGCGUGCAGGAAGAAUGCCUUCGGGUUGUAAGCUGCUUUUGUACGGAGCGAAAAGGUCUCCUCUAAUACAGGGGGCUCAUGACGGUACCGUAAGAAUAAGCACCGGCUAACUACGUGCCAGCAGCCGCCGUAA
RNAcentral lists this ribosomal RNA (493 nucleotides) under uncultured bacterium. RNAcentral's name for it is "partial 16S ribosomal RNA". It matches the Rfam family "Bacterial small subunit ribosomal RNA", at positions 30 to 523 of the family's 1533-position model. The record is from RNAcentral.